UUAAGAUCCUUAAAUUCAAAGAAUUUGGCGGUAAUUAAGUCUUUUUAGAGGAACCUGUUCUUUAAUUGAUAAUCCACGAUUGAUUUUACUUUAAUUUUUAUUUGUAUACCUCUGUCAAUGAAUGUAUUUUAAGAUUAAUUUUCUUUUUUUUUGUGAAUGAAUGUUAGGUCAAGGUGCAGUUUUAUUAAAGUAGAAAUGGGUUACAAUAAUUUUUUUUGGAUUAUUUUAUGUAAUUUAAAGUUUGAAAUAGGAUUUAAUAGUAAUUUUUCUUAAAUUAGGAAUUUUGAUUUUAGCUCUUAAUUAU
This 304-nucleotide ribosomal RNA is filed under the name Pectinariophyes hyalinipennis. Its description in RNAcentral is "partial 12S ribosomal RNA". The record is from RNAcentral. Lineage: Eukaryota; Metazoa; Arthropoda; Insecta; Hemiptera; Machaerotidae.